UCCACUUUAUCCUUUAAGUAGGUUCCGUCCAUUUCUUGUGCAAUCUGAUUGCAUGGAAGAGGUGAACAAAUACUCAAUUUUGGUACUGAGUAUGUAAGACAUACAGUGUAAUUUUUGGCUAAAAAAAUCAAUUGAAGAAGGGUUCUUCAAUUUCUGCAGAAAAUCAACCCUCCUCUCAAAAAAAUUUCCUUGAGUUCUGCUCAUUUUGGAUUCCACCAUCCAAUUUAAGGUCCAAGAGAAUAGCAGGGAAGAUCAAGUGGUGGUCUACAAGCUUUUGGAGUGAAGCAUCAAGCUGAAUGCGUGGAUUGAAGAAGGUUUUCAAAGAGGAAUAAUGCUCCAAGUAUUUGUGUGUUCCAUUGCUUCAAUUUAUUCGUCCAUGGCUUGUUUCCAAUGAUAAAAUUUGAUGGCUUGAUGGAAAUAUGAUGGCUCAAAUACAGUUGUGACAUUUAAAAGAAAAUGCUUGUGUGAAGCUGCAAGAUUAUCAUAGGAUAAAUCGUUACUCAUUGGAUAAACAGAUGGUUAUUUCACUAGUUGGCCAAGUGUAGUAGAUUGCAACAAUAAUCUUAAAGGAAACUUGGAGGAUUAUGCACUAUGGAUGAUCUUUUUAAAGGAGCAUUUACGACUUCAAUGUGUUCUCGAGCAUCAACAAAAGUCGUCUCUUGAAUAUUAGAAGGUUGUGGAUCUUCAAUUGUAGACUACUGGUUCAAGGGUCGUGUGUUAUUAACAAGCAGUUCACUGAUGUCUUUAGCUUGACUUGUUGUAGUAGCAGGAACAAUAACUGCUCCUUGUUCAAAUUCUAUUGAAAUAAUAUCUGGCGUUGGAGAAGGAAGAACAAAGUCUCCAAAUAGCUCAUUUUCUUCAGGAUCUUUUGGUGUUGCUUUGUUGAGAAAACAGAAGGUUGUUUCAUGAAAGACAACAUCCCUUGAUAUUAGGACUUGAUGCUUUUGAAAAUCAUAUAAACGAUAUGCUUUCAUUCCAGGUGGAUAUCCAAUAAAGAUACAUGGGCGUGAUCAUGGCUCAAACUUGGUUAUGUGAUUCACCAAUGUAGACACAUAGCAGAGACAUCCAAAAACACUCAUAAAAUCAUAUUCAUCUGGUUUAUCAUGAAGAAUGUAGUAAAGAGAUUUGUUGUUUAGCAGAGGUACAGGAGCUCCGUUGAUUAUAUAUGUAGCUAUGAGUACACAAUCGCCAAAUCUCAAAAGGAACUCCUGACUGGAAGAGUAUAGCUCGGGCCAUGUUCAAUAAAUGUUGGUACUUUCUCUCAGCAACAGAGUUUUAUUAUGGUCUUUCUACACAAGAAAUUGGUGAAUAGUUCCCUUUGAUGCAAAAAAUUCAGUAAAUUGUAGUUCGGGUGCAAUUUCUUGUUGGGUUUGAUGUCUUAAAACUCGUAGUUAGUAAAUGUAAAUAAUUGAUCGUCGUCAAUAAGAGUUGUCAAUGUUAUUUCAAUAAGUGUUAUUAAUUGUGUUGUAUAUUAUUUUGUCUAAAUAACCCUAAGUCCAAUAAACUAAAAUCCUAGGUUGUCUUA
Molecule: long non-coding RNA, 1525 nt
Organism: Benincasa hispida (wax gourd)
Lineage: Eukaryota; Viridiplantae; Streptophyta; Magnoliopsida; Cucurbitales; Cucurbitaceae
Source: RefSeq, a predicted model, not a curated record